CUGGUUAAGAGAGACAUGUAAGGGCUGGAUGUAAACUCCCAUAGGGCACCUCAUGGGCUAGAGAAGAUGCAGCAUGAGCUCAGGAAUUCAACACAACAUGAAAUAAUCGACAAAUUCGGGGAAUGUUAAUCUGACCAUUCCCAGUUACAAAUGAUGUUUCAUGCUACCUUCUAUUCCUGCCUUCAUAAAUCAAGGUAAUUACUUGGCAAUCUGGCUAUGCCUUGUAAGGCAAAAGAGCUGUUCAUUUCUUGUGUCAAAUGGUGAACAGGGAGGGAGAGGAAAAUGGUAAAUAACCCUGCCACCCACCUGUGCCCAAUCAGCUCUAAAUCUCCAGGAAAAAAUGCGCUAAGAUCGCCAGUGAAAUGUCCUUCCAACUGUGGAUGGAAAGGUAUGAUUUUGUGCAGCAGAUAAGGGACUGGCUAGAGUAAGUGUGUGCUGAGCUUUUGUGUUUGAAAGCGAGCCUGUGCACUUCUAACGACUGGAAGGUUUCCUUGCCUUCUCCGAUCUUACACACAGCAAGGACAGCAAAGCCUUCCAGACCUGCCUGUGACAUGCACUGCACAUUCUAAAGAUGCCUGUGCAAUGGAAAACACCACUGUCUCCUCCAGCACAGCUGCCAUUCUUCCAUCUUAUCGACCUUAAUGCAACAACUCCACACAGGCAGAGAUUUUAAAAUGUGUUCUUGGCAGAAGAGAGACUCAAAGAUGGGACAAAUGGGUCAUUUAAAUGCCUGUUAAAAUGGAACGGACAUAGUAUAGUCAGAGGAUUGUGGCAGCUAAGAACAUAGUCUCUGGAGCAAAUCUGCAUGGGUGGCAACCCCAAGCACUUGAGGUCCUAGUUGUAUGAACUUAGGAAAAGAAAAAGAGAACAUAUAUCCCCCUACCUUUUGAUUUCCAACAGUCUACUGAGAGGCCAACAUUAUUUGCAGGGAAAGAAAAGGGGAAUGCCAUCCCCACCCUCUCGCAGCUACA
Molecule: small RNA, 971 nt
Filed under: Pongo abelii (Sumatran orangutan)
Lineage: Eukaryota; Metazoa; Chordata; Mammalia; Primates; Hominidae
Description: retained intron
Source: RNAcentral